Molecule: long non-coding RNA, 421 nt
Filed under: Danio rerio (zebrafish)
Lineage: Eukaryota; Metazoa; Chordata; Actinopteri; Cypriniformes; Danionidae
Description: lncRNA (ENSDARG00000117272.1)
Source: RNAcentral
GUGUCUUACAAUAAUAUACAAAAAGGAAUCGGUUUAGGCGGAUUCGACUCAUUACUGUUCUAAGGAGCCGAUUCAUAGAACCGAGCCGACUCGAUUCGACCUUAACCAGGCAAGCAACGGCUCUUCUAAUUUGAAAUCAACCUGUCGCCUUUUCUUCCAGUGAAUUCAUCCUCGUAGCGAUGCAGUGGCACAGUAGUAGUGCUGUCGCCUCACAGCAAGAAGGUUGCUGGUUCGAGCCUCGGCUGGGUCAGUUGGCUGAAUACAAUGGCAUAAUGAUUCUGCUUGCUCACAGGAGCUCAGAUUGUGAUGGACCUGGAAUGCGACACCAGUUACUCUUAAGUCAAGAACCAAAUAAAGCACAGAUGUGGAGGGAUCUGCAACUAAACUAACUGGAGGAAAGGAACCUUUAGGUAAAAACACC